RNAcentral lists this ribosomal RNA (316 nucleotides) under uncultured bacterium. Its description in RNAcentral is "bacterial SSU rRNA". It matches the Rfam family "Bacterial small subunit ribosomal RNA", at positions 28 to 334 of the family's 1533-position model. The record is from RNAcentral.
GAUGAACGCUAGCUACAGGCUUAACACAUGCAAGUCGAGGGGCAGCACAGAGAUAGCUUGCUAUCUUGGGUGGCGACCGGCGCACGGGUGAGUAACGCGUAUCCAACCUGCCCAUUACUCGGGGAUAGCCUUGCGAAAGUAAGAUUAAUACCCGAUGUUGUUUAAGUUCCGCAUGAAACUUAAACCAAAGAUUUAUUGGUAAUGGAUGGGGAUGCGUGACAUUAGGUAGUUGGUGAGGUAACGGCUCACCAAGCCUACGAUGUCUAGGGGUUCUGAGAGGAAGGUCCCCCACACUGGAACUGAGACACGGGUCCAG